GACGAACGCUGGCGGCGUGCUUAACACAUGCAAGUCGAACGGAAAGGCCCUGCUUUUGUGGGGUGCUCGAGUGGCGAACGGGUGAGUAACACGUGAGUAACCUGCCCUUGACUUUGGGAUAACUUCAGGAAACUGGGGCUAAUACCGGAUAGGAGCUCCUGCUGCAUGGUGGGGGUUGGAAAGUUUCGGCGGGUGUGGAUGGACUCGCGGCUUAUCAGCUUGUUGGUGGGGGAGUGGCUUACCAAGGGUUUGACGGGUAGCCGGCCUGAGAGGGUGAACGGCGACAUUGGGACUGAGAUAGGGACCAGACUGCUACGGGAGGCAGCAGGGGGGAGUAUUGCACAAUGGGCGGAAGCGUGAUGCAGAGGCGCCGCGUGCGGGAUGACGGCCUUCGGGGUGUAAACAGCUUUCGCCUGUGACGAAGCGGGAGUGACGGUAAUGGGUAAAGAAGCACCGGCUAACUACGUG
This 468-nucleotide ribosomal RNA is filed under the name uncultured bacterium. RNAcentral's name for it is "partial 16S ribosomal RNA". It matches the Rfam family "Bacterial small subunit ribosomal RNA", at positions 28 to 507 of the family's 1533-position model. The record is from RNAcentral.